Panicum virgatum (switchgrass) is the source of this 109-nucleotide small nucleolar RNA. The record is from RefSeq and is a predicted model, not a curated record. Lineage: Eukaryota; Viridiplantae; Streptophyta; Magnoliopsida; Poales; Poaceae.
AUCCCAUGAUGAGGACAGUUGAGUAUGUAUUCUUGGAGUCGAUCCCAAGCUUCUGGGAUGGAUUCCAUCCCUGUCUGCUGGAAACUUGUAAUGCUUCCACGUAUGGCAU